Molecule: non-coding RNA, 46 nt
Organism: Nicotiana sylvestris (wood tobacco)
Lineage: Eukaryota; Viridiplantae; Streptophyta; Magnoliopsida; Solanales; Solanaceae
Source: Rfam
CAAUAGGCUUUAUUUAAAGCCAUUUACAUAAUACACAUUUUCAAUU